This is a long non-coding RNA of Marmota monax (woodchuck), 742 nucleotides long. RefSeq lists it as uncharacterized. The transcript is spliced from 4 exons. The record is from RefSeq and is a predicted model, not a curated record. NCBI's taxonomy places the organism in Eukaryota, Metazoa, Chordata, Mammalia, Rodentia, Sciuridae.
CUGUAAUCCCAGGGUUUGGGAGGCUGAGGCAGGAGGAUAGGACUUCAAAGCCAGCCUCAGCAAAAGCAAGGCACUAAGCAACUCAGUGAGACCCUGUCUCUAAAUAAAAUACAAAAUAAGGCUGGGGAUGUGGCUCAGUGGUCGAAUGCCCCCGAGUUCAAUCCCCGGUACCCAAAAGAAAAAGAAAUAUAAAAAAAAAGGUUUCCUUGUUAGAGUUGAAUUCAUGUCAGACAGAUGGUCUUGCUGAACGGAACCUUUGCUGGGGAAUGUGCAGACGUAAAGAUUCCAGAACAUCGUCUGGGUGACAGAUUGACUCGUCAUAAUUCCUUCCUCCCAUGAGGGCAUUUCUGCUCUCCUAAACUUGAAGCAAGGGGAGGAAGAGGAAAUACUGGAUCCUGUCAGCCAUCUCCUACCUGGUACCAGUUCAUCUGCUGACAUUUGCCUGGGGCCGGAGAAGGGUCUCACUAAGUUGCUAAGGCUGGCCUCAAACAUGUGAUCCUCCUAUAUCAGCCUCUGGAGUCAAUGGGAUUGCAGGUGGUAGACUCCAUUGCUCAGGGUGAACGGAAAACAGGGCAGCAAGUCAUGGCCAAAGCACCUGGUGGAGGAAAUCUCAGCUCAUGGCAUCCAGGAAGGACAGAGAGGUAACAGGGAAGGAGCACUGGGAAGACCUGCCCUUCCAGGGGACUCCCCAGUGACCCACCUCCUCCAGCCACACCCCACCUGCCUACAGUUACAGGGCAGU